UUUUUUUAGACUCACUUUUUUUGAGUCUCACUCAGUUGCCCAGGCUGUAAUGCAGUGGCACGAUCUCAGCUUACGCAACCUCCACUGCCCAGGUUCAAGCAAUUCUCGUGCCUCAGCCUUCUGAGUAACUGGGAUUACAGGCACCCACCACCACGCCUGGCUAAUUUUUGUAUUUUUUGUAGAAAUGAGGUGUUUUUUGUUUUGUUUUGUUUUGUUUUGUUUUUUGAGGCGGAGUCUCUCUCUGUCGCCCAGGCCUGAGUGCAGUGGCCGGAUCUCAGCUCACUGCAGCCUCGGCCUCCCGGGUUCACACCCAUUCUCCUGCCUCAGCCUCCUGAGUAGCUGGGACUACAGCGCCCGCCACCUCGCCCGGCUAGUUUUUUUGUAUUUCUUUUAGUAGAGACGGGGUUUCACCGUGUUACCCAGGAUGGUCUCAAUCUCCUGACCUCGUGAUCCGCCCGUCUCGGCCUCCCAAAGUGCUGGGAUUACAGGCUUGAGCCACCGCGCCCGGCCGAGAUGAGGUUUUACCAUGCUGGCCACACUGGUCUCAAACGCUUGACCUCAAGUGAUCCGCCCGCCCUGGCCUCCCAAAGUGCUGUGAUUACAGGCAUGAGCCAGCACGUCCAGCCCAAAUUUUAUGGUUUUUGUUUUUUUUUUUGUUUUUACACCUAAGUCCAAUCCAUCUGGAGUUUAUUAUGAUGGGUUGGAUCUAGGAACUGUUUGGAAAUUUGCAACAAGAAAUAUAUUUAUAGUCCCUGGCCCACUUUAGAGGUUAUAUCUUCAAGGAAAUAAUCCAACAUAAAAGACCUGCAAAGAUUUUCACAGCAACACUAUUUACAAUAGCAACAGUUUGGAAAGCCCAUAUACCCACCAUUGGGGGGAAAGUUAAGCAAACACAGACUAGGAGAAGUAAAAGUGUAUAUGAUGCUUUUUCUUUUCUUUUCUUUUCUUUUCUUUUUUAAGAGACAGAGUCUCAGCUCUGUUGCUCUGGCUAGAGUGCAGUGGUAUGAUCAUAGCUCACUGCAGUCUGGAACUCCUGGAUUCAAGUGAUUC
This 1050-nucleotide long non-coding RNA is filed under the name Macaca fascicularis (crab-eating macaque). RNAcentral's name for it is "lncRNA (ENSMFAG00000050453.1)". The record is from RNAcentral. Lineage: Eukaryota; Metazoa; Chordata; Mammalia; Primates; Cercopithecidae.